Molecule: long non-coding RNA, 133 nt
Organism: Octopus sinensis (East Asian common octopus)
Lineage: Eukaryota; Metazoa; Mollusca; Cephalopoda; Octopoda; Octopodidae
Exons: 2
Source: RefSeq, a predicted model, not a curated record
UUUGCCUGUAGUAAAUGGAACAGGUUGGGAAACUAUGAGAAGAUAUUACUUCAACAAAAAGGAGAAUAGAUGUAAACAUUUCAUGUGCGCUGGAAAAGGAAGGAACGGCAAUAACUUUCCCAGUAUCGAAAAA